GGGGGCGUAGCUCAGCCCGGUAGAGCACCCCGCGUCCUGGACCCCGUAACCCCUUGCUGGUCACACCGGCGGUAGGUACGGGGCCAGGCCGGGCCGGUCGCUGGUUCAAAUCCAGCCGCCCCCA
RNAcentral lists this transfer RNA (124 nucleotides) under Streptomyces phage phiSAJS1. It matches the Rfam family "tRNA". From Rfam's summary of the family: Transfer RNA (tRNA) molecules are approximately 80 nucleotides in length. The record is from Rfam by way of RNAcentral. Lineage: Duplodnaviria; Heunggongvirae; Uroviricota; Caudoviricetes.